Molecule: long non-coding RNA, 1730 nt
Organism: Myotis myotis
Lineage: Eukaryota; Metazoa; Chordata; Mammalia; Chiroptera; Vespertilionidae
Exons: 2
Source: RefSeq, a predicted model, not a curated record
CUAGUCUCACCUGAGGGUGGAGAGCAGAGUGAGGAGACAGGCACAAGACAAGUCUAACCUGAGGUGGGAGUUUGAAGAGGAAGUGUGCUUGCUCAGAGGAAGGAGGGCCCGACUGCCUGGAAGAGCAGAGAAGGAUCCUCACCCAGCUCCUGGCAUUCAAGCAAAGAAGUGCCAACUAGAGGGGGCAAGAGCAGUGUGUGCAGCAUGGGCAGAGAAGGGGGAUUCUAAUGUCUGCAAUCCUUUCGCAAGUGUGGUCCCAAGAGCGGGCUAAGUGUGGACCUGGGUGAGGCAGUGCAGCGCCAGCCUGAGUGCAGCCAAGAGCAGAGACCAUGCUGGACUACAGGAGCCCAGGAUGAUGGCAUUACAGUUCUGGAUCCUGACCCUCCCUGUGGGCACGUAUGCUCACCAGGCCCAGGACUUAUUCCACAGCAAGAUGGAACUAAGCCACCUGGUCGUGGAUGAGACACUGGGCACCUGGGGACAGUCCUUGGUUUCUACUCCAACAAAUCUUAUGGUUACACAUUCUCCUAUGUGUGGGUCCCUGAAAUGCUUUUCUCUUGACUCCGUGAAACAGCCUUAUUUCCACAGCAAGUGGCCUGGCUCUUUAUCUAGUCUGUGCUUGGCAAUGUAUUUAUUGCCUUCCAUGAAGUGGAUGCCUCUUUGAAAUCAAUGCCUAAACAAGCAAGCUUAAGUCAGGCACUUGCAUUACAAAAAGAAAAGCCACUGUCAGGAUUUAUAGUACAAUGACUCAUAUGUUUGUGAUGAUGCUGGUGUAAAUCUGUGCUGCCAGUCCUAUAAAAAUAUAGCACACACAAUUAUAGUAGUGGGCUAUACCAUCUGGGUGUAUAAGUGCAUUCUAUGAUGUUCACACAAGGAGAAGUCCCCUAACAAUGCAUUUCUCAGAAUGUAACCUUGUCUUGUUGUUAAGUGGCAUAUGACUGUAUUUGAUUUUUGUUGUUGAGUUGUAGUUCUUUAUACAAUCUGGAUAUGAACCUAUAUCAGGACAUGAUUUACAAAUAUUUUCUCCCAUUUCAUAGGUUGCCUUUUGACUCUGUUGGUUGUGUUCUUCGAUGCAGAAAGUAUUAAAGUCUGAUAUAAUCUCAUUUGUAUUUUUGUUGUUUGUGCUUUUGGUGUCGUAUCCAAGAAAUCACUGCCAGAUCCAAUAUCAUGAAGCUUUCCCCUAUGUUUUUUUCUAAGAGUUUUAUCAUUUAAGUCUUUAAUCCAUUGCAAUUUAUUUUUUGUACAAAGUGUAAGAUAAGAGUUGGAGGGAACCAAAGUUUUGCCACUCUGAAGCUGCCUUUUUGGGAUAUUGAUCAGGAAGAAUGCUUGACUCUCCUGCUUUUCCAGCCCAAGAGGUUCAGACAAAAAGAAAAAAAAAAAAACUAUUCAGGAAGGAUAACUACAAUUUUCGUCUUAGCCUGAAUAGCCUAAUUUGAAUUAUAUAUGGUAAAUAAGAAGGCUUCAUGCUGGGGUCUGUUAGUUAGAAACCUCUUCUAUCCCAUUGUUUCCGAGUUGCUUAGCAAGAAUGUUCUUGUCAUAUAUGUUCUGCUCUUCCUCAUCUACCUGUAAAUUGCCCAUUCUCACUUCUGAAAUCUAAUACUCUGUCACCUCACCCUUUCUCCAUUGUCCAAAAAUAUCAUAUAUACAACGUUGCCUCACUAUCUUUGGAAUUUUCAUGCCUUUGUGAAUUCCCUAUGCACAUGUAUUAAAAUUUUAUUUUCUUCUGUCAA